Molecule: ribosomal RNA, 497 nt
Filed under: uncultured bacterium
Lineage: Bacteria
Description: partial 16S ribosomal RNA
Rfam family: Bacterial small subunit ribosomal RNA
Source: RNAcentral
GAUGAACGCUGGCGGCGUGCCUAAUACAUGCAAGUCGAGCGAACGGACGCUAAGCUUGCUUUUCUGAUGUUAGCGGCGGACGUGUGAGUAACACGUGGAUAACCUACCUAUAAGACUGGGAUAACUUCGGGAGACCGGAGCUAAUACCGGAUAAUAUUUUGAACCGCAUGGUUCAAAAGUGAAAGACGGUCUUGCUGUCACUUAUAGAUGGAUCUGCGCUGCAUUAGCUAGUUGUUAAGGUAACGGCUUACCAAGGCAACGAUGCAUAGCCGACCUGAGAGGGUGAUCGGCCACACUGGAACUGAGACGCGGUCCAGACUCCUACGGGAGGCAGCAGUAGGGAAUCUUCCGCAGUGGGCGAAAGCCUGACGGAGCAACGCCGCGUGAGUGAUGAAGGUCUUCGGAUCGUAAAACUCUGUUAUUAGGGAAGAACAUAUGUGUAAGUAACUGUGCACAUCUUGACGGUACCUAAUCAGAAAGCCACGGCUAACUACGUG